AGUGAACGCUGGCGGCGUGCCUAAUACAUGCAAGUCGAACGGAGUGGCGCACGGGUGAGAAAUAUAUAGCUAAUCUGCCCCUUUCUGGAGGACAACAGAGAGAAAUGACUGCUAAUACUCCAUAGCCAGGUCUGAGACGAUAUCGUAUCAGCUGGUCGGUGGGGUAACGGCCUACCGAGGCUAUGACGCGUAACUGGUCUGAGAGGAUGAUCAGUCACAUUGGAGCUGAGACACGGUCCAAACUCCUACGGGAGGCAGCAGUAGGGGAUAUUGCGCAAUGGGGUAAACGCUGACGGAGCAACGCCGCGUGGAGGAUGACACUCUUCGGAGCGUAAACUCCUUUUAUUAGGGAAACGGUACCUAAAGAAUAAGCACCGGCUAACUCCGUGCCAGCAGCCGCGGUAAUAC
RNAcentral lists this ribosomal RNA (408 nucleotides) under uncultured bacterium. RNAcentral's name for it is "partial 16S ribosomal RNA". It matches the Rfam family "Bacterial small subunit ribosomal RNA", at positions 29 to 526 of the family's 1533-position model. The record is from RNAcentral.